AGAGUUUGAUUAUGGCUCAGAUUGAACGCUGGCGGGAUGCUUUACACAUGCAAGUCGAACGGCAGCACGGACUUCGGUCUGGUGGCGAGUGGCGAACGGGUGAGUAUUAAUAUCGGAACGUGCCCUAGUAGCGGGGGAUAACUACGCGAAAGCGUAGCUAUUACCACAUACGCCCUUCGGGGGAAAGCGGGGGACCUUCGGGCCUCGCACUAU
This 213-nucleotide unclassified non-coding RNA is filed under the name uncultured Bordetella sp. RNAcentral's name for it is "partial 16S-23S ribosomal RNA intergenic spacer". It matches the Rfam family "Bacterial small subunit ribosomal RNA", at positions 8 to 221 of the family's 1533-position model. The record is from RNAcentral. Lineage: Bacteria; Pseudomonadati; Pseudomonadota; Betaproteobacteria; Burkholderiales; Alcaligenaceae.